ACACCCAUCAAGCCUGGCUUGGUUUUGGGCGACGGGACCUCCCCGCGCCCCGAUUUCGCCGGCUGGACGACCCCGAUCUCUCAAGCGUUGUACAAUCUCGCUGGUGGGACGGGCGGCCACGCCGUGAACCUCAAUCAAAUCA
Molecule: unclassified non-coding RNA, 142 nt
Filed under: uncultured Teratosphaeriaceae
Lineage: Eukaryota; Fungi; Ascomycota; Dothideomycetes; Mycosphaerellales; Teratosphaeriaceae
Description: sequence contains ITS2
Source: RNAcentral